GGCUCAGAUUGAACGCUAGCGGGAUGCUUUACACAUGCAAGUCGAACGGCAGCGCGGACUUCGGUCUGGCGGCGAGUGGCGAACGGGUGAGUAAUGUAUCGGAACGUGCCCAGUAGCGGGGGAUAACUACGCGAAAGCGUAGCUAAUACCGCAUACGCCCUAAGGGGGAAAGCAGGGGAUCGUAAGACCUUGCACUAUUGGAGCGGCCGAUAUCGGAUUAGCUAGUUGGUGGGGUAACGGCUCACCAAGGCGACGAUCCGUAGCUGGUUUGAGAGGACGACCAGCCACACUGGGACUGAGACACGGCCCAGACUCCUACGGGAGGCAGCAGUGGGGAAUUUUGGACAAUGGGGGCAACCCUGAUCCAGCCAUCCCGCGUGUGCGAUGAAGGCCUUCGGGUUGUAAAGCACUUUUGGCAGGAAAGAAACGUCGCGGGCUAAUACCCCGUGAAC
Molecule: ribosomal RNA, 452 nt
Filed under: Achromobacter sp.
Lineage: Bacteria; Pseudomonadati; Pseudomonadota; Betaproteobacteria; Burkholderiales; Alcaligenaceae
Description: bacterial SSU rRNA
Rfam family: Bacterial small subunit ribosomal RNA
Source: RNAcentral